AUUGAACGCUGGCGGCAGGCCUAACACAUGCAAGUCGAACGGUAACAGGAAGAAUCUUGCUUCUUUGCUGACGAGUGGCGGACGGGUGAGUAAUGUCUGGGAAACUGCCUGAUGGAGGGGGAUAACUACUGGAAACGGUAGCUAAUACCGCAUAACGUCGCAAGACCAAAAAGGGGGACCUUCGGGCCUCUUGCCAUCGGAUGUGCCCAGAUGGUAUUAGCUAGUAGGUGGGGUAACGGCUCACCUAGGCGACGAUCCCUAGCUGGUCUGAGAGGAUGACCAGCCACACUGGAACUGAGACACGGUCCAGACUCCUAAGGGAGGCAGCAGUGGGGAAUAUUGCACAAUGGGCGCAAGCCUGAUGCAGCCAUACCGCGUGUAUGAAGAAGGCCUUCGGGUUGUAAAGUACUUUCAGCGGGGAGGAAGGGAGUAAAGUUAAUACCUUUGCUCAUUGACGUUACCCGCAGAAGAAGCACCGGCUAACUCCGUG
This 490-nucleotide ribosomal RNA is filed under the name uncultured bacterium. Its description in RNAcentral is "partial 16S ribosomal RNA". It matches the Rfam family "Bacterial small subunit ribosomal RNA", at positions 30 to 507 of the family's 1533-position model. The record is from RNAcentral.